AUGAACGCUGGCGGCGUGCCUAAUACAUGCAAGUCGAGCGGACGGACGAGAAGCUUGCUUCUCUGAUGUUAGCGGCGGACGGGUGAGUAACACGUGGAUAACCUACCUAUAAGACUGGGAUAACUUCGGGAAACCGGAGCUAAUACCGGAUAAUAUUUUGAACCGCAUGGUUCAAAAGUGAAAGACGGUCUUGCUGUCACUUAUAGAUGGAUCCGCGCUGCAUUAGCUAGUUGGUAAGGUAACGGCUUACCAAGGCAACGAUGCAUAGCCGACCUGAGAGGGUGAUCGGCCACACUGGAACUGAGACACGGUCCAGACUCCUACGGGAGGCAGCAGUAGGGAAUCUUCCGCAAUGGGCGAAAGCCUGACGGAGCAACGCCGCGUGAGUGAUGAAGGUCUUCGGAUCGUAAAACUCUGUUAUUAGGGAAGAACAGAUGUGUAAGUAACUGUGCACAUCUUGACGGUACCUAAUCAGAAAGCCACGGCUAACUACGU
Molecule: ribosomal RNA, 495 nt
Filed under: uncultured bacterium
Lineage: Bacteria
Description: partial 16S ribosomal RNA
Rfam family: Bacterial small subunit ribosomal RNA
Source: RNAcentral